AUGAACGCUGGCGGCGUGCCUAAUACAUGCAAGUCGAGCGAACAGACGAGGAGCUUGCUCCUCUGGCGUUAGCGGCGGACGGGUGAGUAACACGUGGAUAACCUACCUAUAAGACUGGGAUAACUUCGGGAAACCGGAGCUAAUACCGGAUAAUAUAUUGAACCGCAUGGUUCAAUAGUGAAAGACGGUUUUGCUGUCACUUAUAGAUGGAUCCGCGCCGCAUUAGCUAGUUGGUAAGGUAACGGCCUACCAAGGCAACGAUGCGUAGCCGACCUGAGAGGGUGAUCGGCCACACUGGAACUGAGACACGGUCCAGACUCCUACGGGAGGCAGCAGUAGGGAAUCUUCCGCAAUGGGCGAAAGCCUGACGGAGCAACGCCGCGUGAGUGAUGAAGGUCUUCGGAUCGUAAAACUCUGUUAUUAGGGAAGAACAAAUGUGUAAGUAACUAUGCACGUCUUGACGGUACCUAAUCAGAAAGCCACGGCUAACUACGUG
This 496-nucleotide ribosomal RNA is filed under the name uncultured bacterium. Its description in RNAcentral is "partial 16S ribosomal RNA". It matches the Rfam family "Bacterial small subunit ribosomal RNA", at positions 29 to 507 of the family's 1533-position model. The record is from RNAcentral.